Molecule: long non-coding RNA, 656 nt
Organism: Apis laboriosa (Himalayan honeybee)
Lineage: Eukaryota; Metazoa; Arthropoda; Insecta; Hymenoptera; Apidae
Exons: 3
Source: RefSeq, a predicted model, not a curated record
CAAAUAUUUCAUUAUAAAAAAACAAGAUAUCCUGAAUCAAAAGAAAAUUUUCAUGAAAAAUUAUUCGUUUUCUAUUUGGAUCUAAUAUGAAGAAAUAUAGUGCAGACCGUUGCAUUUUCCAACAAUAUCAUUCAGGCCACUUUUGCGAUGAAAUAUCGAACACUAAUGUAAUUGACCAGAUGCUGACUUAUCAGAACCGCCAGCAUACAGAAUAUCUCAAUGCAACCGGAACUCAGAAAAACCGUCCUCUCAUCGGCAUCUUUUUAUCAUCUCGAUCUAUUCUAAACCAACUCGAUUACAUGUCGAUAAACGGAAAUGGAGCGAUUCGAAUGAGAAUUUAAUGAUUCACCAUCGUUUUUCUAAAUAAAAAACAAAGUAGAAAGUUGUCAAACAUGUUACAAGUUAUCAAACUACAAUCCAUAUUUGUACGUUUUUGUAAUCACGAGGGAAAUCGCGAUUACGUAGGUUCAGUAGUAAGCAUACGUUUCCUUGACGUUUAGUCCAGUUUUGCAUCCGGCACAGGUACAUACUGGGGAAAGGUCGAGCUACCGACCUGAAUAUGUUGAUGGUUACGCAAUAAUUCGUGCACUGAAUAUGUUUUUUAUAACUGAUGUAUGUAUAUAUAUUUUAAAACUAAUCAACUUGGAAUCAAAAAU